UCUUGAGCAAAGAGGCUCCUAAUAAAUAAAAGGUGUAUAAACACCAUACGAAUGUAUAUAUAAUUGACUAUGUAAAUUGUACCCAAAGGAAUUUAAAUACAAAACAUUGCGUUUCAGGUAAGUUACCAUAUAGCAUUCAUGAAUACAUGCUUCAGUAGGCAAUAGUACUAAACAAAAAUUACAAUUACGGAAUGUAAAAACAAUGUAGGCACUCUUUGGUUUUCCAAAUUCAAGGUAAUUGUUCAACAUAAUUCUUUGGGACCAAUCCUGUCUUGCCAUUUAGUGUGCCUUCUAACCAUCCUGGUUCCAAAGAGGCCUUUACUGUAACGGAGAAUUGAAUUCAGUACAUUAAUCUAUAUAUAUAGCAAAUUAUUGACAUAACCUUGACAUAAUCUUUGCAAUUAUUUUGCGUGUUCGCAAAAUAAUUUAGAAAAUUGUAAUGUUACAUAAAUAUUCACAGUUCAUUAUUUAGAAACUGAGAUUAUUCAUAUAUAUCACGUAUUUUACAUACCAUUUGUAAUAAUUUGAUUUGGUUCAAAUGAUAACUCGCCAUCGUUUUCUGCCAAACAGGCAUAUAAGGUACGAACUCUCCUGAAAGUUGGAUAUAGUUAAAUUCCCGCUACUAAAAAAACUAUUUAUAUUACAAAAAUUGGUCAACGGCGAAUAUACACUUACCAAAUACCAGGUACUUGUCCAGGGCUUGAACGUCCACUACUGGGCGAUGUAUUAGGUCUAUGGAAGAUUGUGAAUAUUAAAAGAAUAAGAUAUGUAUGACGGAUGGAGGAGGUACGCAACUGAUUACAGUGAAAAGGAAUACAAAAUCAAAAACUUACACAGAUACUGAUGGAUUAUUUCGUUGAGCAUAGCCCGAUGCAUAAUGUACAGACAUCAUAGAACCACGCUUUUGUUUUACCGGUAAAUCGGAUGUAAAGGAAUGUGGAUCAGACGCAACUGACUCAUUUGAACUACUUGUGUUGCCACUCGUUAAUACUGCACACACAGAAUGGUAGAUAACAUUUGCAUUAGAUAAUUUGACACGGCCACCUCGACUAUCUAAAUAUGUUGGCAUUCUGUGACUUGCGUGUUCUGUUUCUUCAUAAUCUCCGUUUUUUCGAUCAUCGACUGAAGAUGAUUUAGUAACAACCGCUAAUGGACCAUCAUAAUAUGAUCUUGUAACAAGCUAGAACAAAUUAUCAAUACAUGUACAUUUUACCAUCAGAACUUUGAUGUACACUCUAGUUCUCAAAAAUAAAUAUUUUUAAACUCCAA
Megalopta genalis is the source of this 1269-nucleotide non-coding RNA. Lineage: Eukaryota; Metazoa; Arthropoda; Insecta; Hymenoptera; Halictidae. The record is from RefSeq and is a predicted model, not a curated record.